CCUACGGGCGGCAGCAGUAGGGAAUCUUCCACAAUGGACGAAAGCCUGAUGGAGCAACGCCGCGUGUGUGAUGAAGGGUUUCGGCUCGUAAAACACUGUUGUAAGAGAAGAAUGACUUUGAGAGUAUCUGUUCAGUGCGUCACGGUAUCUUACCAGAACGGCACGGCUAAAUACGUGCCAGCAGCCGCGGUAAUACGUAUGUUCCAGUCGAUAUCCGGAUUGAUUGGGCGUAAAGCGAGCGCAGACGGUUAUUUAUGUCCGAAGUGAAAGCCCACAGCUUAACUGUGGAAGGGCGGUGGAAACUGGAUAGCUUGAGUGCAGUAGAGGAGAGUGGAACUCCAGGUGUAGCGGUGAAAUGCGUAGAGAUAUGGAAGAACACCAGUGGCGAAGGCGGCUCGCUGGACUGUAACUGACGUUGAGGCUCGAAAGUGUGGGUAGCAAACAGGAUUAGAUACCCCAGUAGUC
Molecule: ribosomal RNA, 465 nt
Filed under: uncultured Weissella sp.
Lineage: Bacteria; Bacillati; Bacillota; Bacilli; Lactobacillales; Lactobacillaceae
Description: bacterial SSU rRNA
Rfam family: Bacterial small subunit ribosomal RNA
Source: RNAcentral